Molecule: transfer RNA, 76 nt
Filed under: Aminobacterium sp.
Lineage: Bacteria; Thermotogati; Synergistota; Synergistia; Synergistales; Aminobacteriaceae
Description: tRNA-Arg
Rfam family: tRNA
About the family: Transfer RNA (tRNA) molecules are approximately 80 nucleotides in length. Their secondary structure includes four short double-helical elements and three loops (D, anti-codon, and T loops).
Source: RNAcentral
GUGCCUGUAGCUCAGCGGAUAGAGUAUUGGCCUCCGGAGCCAAGGGUCUGGGGUUCGAAUCCCCACAGGCACGCCA